CUAAGAAUAUUCCGCAAUGGACGGAAGUCUGACGGAGCGACGCCGCGUGGAUGAAGAAGGCCGAAAGGUUGUAAGGUUCUUUUGCUGGGGAAGAAUAACCGCAGGAGGGAAUGCCUGUGGGAUGACAAGAACCGGCGAAUAAGCCCCGGCCAACUACGUGCCAGCAGCCGCGGUAACACGUAGGGGGCGAGCGUUGUUCGGAAUUACUGGGCGUAAAGGGCAUGUAGGCGGCUUGGAAAGCCUGGCGUGAAAGUCUGCAGCUUAACUGCAGGGGUGCGCUGGGAACUGCUGAGCUUGAGUGACGGAGAGGGAGCUGGAAUUCCUGGUGUAGGGGGUGAAAUCUGUAGAUAUCAGGAAGAACACCGAUGGCGAAGGCAAGCUCCUGGCCGAUGACUGACGCCGAGGUGCGAAAGUGUGGGGGAUCAAACAGGAUUAGAUACCCUGGUAGUCCACACAGUCAACGAUGUGCACUAGGUGCUGGGGCGGUAGCUUCGGUGCCGGAGCGAACGUGGUAAGUGCACCGCCUGGGGAGUAUGCUCGCAAGGGUGAAACUUAAAUGAAUUGACGGGGUCAUAGCUGUUUCCU
Molecule: ribosomal RNA, 585 nt
Filed under: uncultured bacterium
Lineage: Bacteria
Description: partial 16S ribosomal RNA
Rfam family: Bacterial small subunit ribosomal RNA
Source: RNAcentral